This 134-nucleotide ribosomal RNA is filed under the name uncultured bacterium. RNAcentral describes it as "partial 16S rRNA". It matches the Rfam family "Bacterial small subunit ribosomal RNA", at positions 338 to 471 of the family's 1533-position model. The record is from RNAcentral.
CCUACGGGAGGCAGCAGUGGGGAAUAUUGGACAAUGGGGGGAACCCUGAUCCAGCCAUGCCGCGUGUGUGAAGAAGGCCUUUUGGUUGUAAAGCACUUUAAGCGAGGAGGAGGCUACUCUAGUUAAUACCUAGG